AUACGUAGGGGGCAAGCGUUGUCCGGAAUUAUUGGGCGUAAAGAGCGUGUAGGCUGUCCGGUAAGUCCGCUGUGAAAGUCCAGGGCUCAACCCUGGAAUGCCGGUGGAUACUGCCGGGCUAGAGUCCGGAAGAGGCGAGUGGAAUUCCUGGUGUAGCGGUGAAAUGCGCAGAUAUCAGGAGGAACACCGAUGGCGAAGGCAGCUCGCUGGGACGGUACUGACGCUGAGACGCGAAAGCGUGGGGAGCAAACAGGA
Molecule: ribosomal RNA, 255 nt
Filed under: uncultured prokaryote
Description: partial 16S ribosomal RNA
Rfam family: Bacterial small subunit ribosomal RNA
Source: RNAcentral